AGGACGAACGCUGGCGGCGUGCUUAACACAUGCAAGUCGAGCGGAAAGGCCCUUCGGGGUACUCGAGCGGCGAACGGGUGAGUAACACGUGAGUAAUCUGCCCCUAGCUCUGGGAUAGCUCCGGGAAAACCGGGAUUAAUACCGGAUACGACCACCUUAGACAUCUUUUGUGGUGGAAAGAAUUUCGGCUAGGGAUGAGCUCGCGGCCUAUCAGCUUGUUGGUGGGUAACGCCUACCAAGGCGACGACGAGUA
Molecule: ribosomal RNA, 253 nt
Filed under: uncultured bacterium
Lineage: Bacteria
Description: partial small subunit ribosomal RNA
Rfam family: Bacterial small subunit ribosomal RNA
Source: RNAcentral